RNAcentral lists this ribosomal RNA (397 nucleotides) under uncultured bacterium. RNAcentral's name for it is "partial 16S ribosomal RNA". It matches the Rfam family "Bacterial small subunit ribosomal RNA", at positions 523 to 918 of the family's 1533-position model. The record is from RNAcentral.
AUACGUAGGGUCCGAGCGUUGUCCGGAGUUACUGGGCGUAAAGGGCACGCAGGCGGCGGCACUGGCCCGGCGUGAAAGCCCCCGGCUCAACCGGGGAGGGUCGUCGGGGACCGUGCCGCUUGAGGGCAGCAGGGGGUGGUGGAAUGCCCGGUGUAGUGGUGAAAUGCGUAGAGAUCGGGCGGAACACCCGUGGCGAAGGCGGCCACCUGGGCUGCACCUGACGCUGAGGUGCGAAGGCGUGGGGAGCGAACGGGAUUAGAUACCCCGGUAGUCCACGCAGUAAACGAUGCCGACUAGGCGUGGGGGGACUUGACCCCCUCCGUGCCGGAGCCAACGCGGGAAGUCGGCCGCCUGGGGAGUACGGCCGCAAGGCUAAAACUCAAAGGAAUUGACGGGG